UCUUCGAGGUCGAACGAGCGAUUGAAGGCUGAGAGGUCGUCGUCUUCUUCGUAAUCGAUGUGGUAAUCUUCUCUGGUGAUCUCUCUGUACAAAUACUUGUAGUACUUGCAUAAACAAAACGAUACCAGCUAUUGUAUCACAUCGAUCAAUUGUAAAGGCAUGAGAGUUUCUCUCCAUACAUUAGGGAACGAAGUACGGUUUUUUGAUAGUUGGACUUGAUGGAAUCAAUCCAUGGAAAGUUUGAGAUGGAAAAGUUCCAGAUUCAGGAGACUUGGAGUAUGUGAAAGUUCAAGAUUUUAGGCGUCCGGGCGAGUCUGGAUCGGCAUUGAACCAACAAUGAACACUGAUACAAAGAGACCAGACGCUGGAGCUAAACCAAAAACAGCUUCGGAGUCGCGAGGAAGAGAGAGUCACAAGAAGCAGACUGAAUCGAUGCUUUCUUCAAUGUAGAGAUAGCCUUGACUUUGUUAAUAGUUUUAAAAUAAUGUUUGAUAUUAUGUAUGUAACGUUAAGUUGUUGAAAUGUUUUGUGGAUUGACAAAGGAGAAGCUGAUAAAACACUUUAUUUGUGUGUUU
Brassica rapa (field mustard) is the source of this 575-nucleotide long non-coding RNA. RefSeq lists it as uncharacterized. The record is from RefSeq and is a predicted model, not a curated record. NCBI's taxonomy places the organism in Eukaryota, Viridiplantae, Streptophyta, Magnoliopsida, Brassicales, Brassicaceae.